This 421-nucleotide long non-coding RNA is filed under the name Junco hyemalis (dark-eyed junco). RNAcentral's name for it is "lncRNA (ENSJHYG00000016373.1)". Lineage: Eukaryota; Metazoa; Chordata; Aves; Passeriformes; Passerellidae. The record is from RNAcentral.
CCGGCGUUCCUGCAUUUAGGCCCAUUCCUGCUCGGCAUUUCUGCAUUCCGGGCCCAUUCCUGCCCGGCAUUCCUGCCCGGCAUUCCCGCAUUCCCGGCCCUCGCACCCGCGCGAGGGAAGCCUGCGGAACGCCCCGGGGCUGGCGAUCUCCCUCAUGUCCCUCACGCCACUCCCCGGAGCGCGGGGCUGGAGAAGAAAAGGGAGACUCAUAAUGCCCGUGCUCCUAAAAGGCCAGCUAAUAGUCUUUGUCCACUUCAGAAAAGAGGAGUACCCAGAGUUGUCUGCUAAUGUUCAUCUUUAUGCUGUUGUCCAACCCAUCAAGUAAAUCAACCAAGCUCAGGACUCCUUGCUGAAAGAAGGCAGAGAAAAUUUGGGUUCAGGUCAGUAGCAACUUAGGUACUGUUUAGACACGAUAGCCACU